Molecule: ribosomal RNA, 378 nt
Filed under: uncultured bacterium
Lineage: Bacteria
Description: bacterial SSU rRNA
Rfam family: Bacterial small subunit ribosomal RNA
Source: RNAcentral
UAAGACGAACCGUGCGAACGUUAUUCGGAAUCACUGGGCUUAAAGCGCGUGUAGGCGGGACGGCACGUCGGUCGCUGAAAUCCCCCGGCUCAACCGGGGAAGUGGCACCGAUACGACCGUCCUGGAGGGGGGUAGGGGGCGCUGGAACUCACGGUGGAGCGGUGAAAUGCGUUGAGAUCGUGAGGAACGCCCGCGGCGAAAGCGAGCGCCUGGACCCUUUCUGACGCUGAGACGCGAAAGCCAGGGGAGCGAACGGGAUUAGAUACCCCGGUAGUCCUGGCCGUAAACGAUGGGCACUGGGUAGGGGGCUCGCCGAUGGGCUCCCUGCCGCAGGGAAACCGUGAAGUGCCCCGCCUGGGGAGUAUGGUCGCAAGGCUG